This 464-nucleotide ribosomal RNA is filed under the name uncultured bacterium. RNAcentral's name for it is "partial 16S ribosomal RNA". It matches the Rfam family "Bacterial small subunit ribosomal RNA", at positions 28 to 507 of the family's 1533-position model. The record is from RNAcentral.
GACGAACGCUGGCGGCGUGCUUAACACAUGCAAGUCGAACGGUAAGGCCCCAUCUUGCUGGGGUACACGAGUGGCGAACGGGUGUGUAACACGUGGGUGACCUGCCCCGCACUUCGGGAUAAGCCUGGGAAACUGGGUCUAAUACCGGAUACGACCGCACCGCGAGGGUGGGGUGGAAAGUUUUUGGGUGUGGGAUGGGCCCGCGGCCUAUCAGCUUGUUGGUGGGGUAUUGGCCUACCACGGCGGCGACGGGUAGCCGGCCUGAGAGGGUGGACGGCCACAUUGGGACGGAGACACGGCCCGGACUCCUACGGGAGGCAGCAGUGGGGAAUAUUGCACAAUGGGCGGAAGCCUAAUGCGGCGACGCCGCGUGGGGGAUGACGGCCUUCGGGUUGAAAACUCCUUUCACCAUCGACGAAGGUUGUCUGACGGUAGAUGGAGAAGAAGCACCGGCUAACUACGUG